Alteromonas sp. is the source of this 138-nucleotide regulatory RNA element. It matches the Rfam family "Gammaprotebacteria rimP leader". The record is from Rfam. Lineage: Bacteria; Pseudomonadati; Pseudomonadota; Gammaproteobacteria; Alteromonadales; Alteromonadaceae.
UUGCCUGAUGUGGGCAAAAGGGACCGAAUUUUUAUUGCAAAAAGCCCCGUUUAAUCGGGGCUUUUUGUUAAUUCGCUCUCACGCACAAAGCGAUACCAAAUUAAGGUAUCAGUAUAUUGGGCAUUAUGCCCUUUUUUC